RNAcentral lists this transfer RNA (43 nucleotides) under Mecaphesa naevigera. RNAcentral describes it as "tRNA-Leu". Lineage: Eukaryota; Metazoa; Arthropoda; Arachnida; Araneae; Thomisidae. The record is from RNAcentral.
AAAUAAUUUACUUAAAUUAAACUUUAAGUUUAACUAAUUUUUA